Molecule: unclassified non-coding RNA, 25 nt
Filed under: Mus musculus (house mouse)
Lineage: Eukaryota; Metazoa; Chordata; Mammalia; Rodentia; Muridae
Description: oocyte_clustered_small_RNA5761
Source: RNAcentral
UGCCCUAAGAAGCAGUAUGCACAGG